GGGUGUAGCUCAACUGGUAGAGCGGCGGUCUCCAAAACCGCAGGCCGUGGGUUCAAGUCCUACCGCCC
Molecule: transfer RNA, 68 nt
Filed under: bovine gut metagenome
Rfam family: tRNA
About the family: Transfer RNA (tRNA) molecules are approximately 80 nucleotides in length. Their secondary structure includes four short double-helical elements and three loops (D, anti-codon, and T loops).
Source: RNAcentral